RNAcentral lists this long non-coding RNA (2730 nucleotides) under Homo sapiens (human). RNAcentral's name for it is "HSALNT0301504". The record is from RNAcentral. Lineage: Eukaryota; Metazoa; Chordata; Mammalia; Primates; Hominidae.
GGAACCUGUCCCAGACGCCUACCCCGCCUGAGCCAGAGGAAGGGAGGAAAACAAUAGCAAAAACCAGGACCCUUCGGACUUGCCGCUGAAUGGGGAUUUUCGUCGGAUGUUGAGUUUACCUGGAAUGCCCCGGUGUUAUUUUGGGAAGGCAGACAUCCCACGGAAACAAUGAAGUGGAAAAGAAAACAGCUAAAGCAAAAUCUAGAGCCCAGUUUUUGCCAAACCAGCCCCACGUGGGCUGGGCAGGCUCUGGAAGCCCAAGUCAGGCCGAUGAAGAGCGGCUGAGGCCGUGGGGAUCUGGUUUACCAGGAGGGCACAUGGAGGAUGCAAGAAAAGGAAGAGCCGUAUUCAAGUCCCCACUUCAGUGAUGAGGCAGAAAGACCCUGCGCCUGACCACGUGGGAACAGCCUGCAGUGAGCGGUGACGCCGCCUGGCUUGAGCUAAGUGCUGGGCUCCACCAUUCAUUGGCUGAGUGACCUUAGGCAAGUCACUUAACCUCUCAGAGCUUCCUUAUCCUCAUGUAGAAGAUGGAGGUGGGGCGCGGUGGCUCACGCCUGUAAUCCCAACACUUUGGGAGGCCGAGGCGGGUGGAUCACCUGAGGUCAGGGGUUCAAGACCAGCCUGGGCAACAUGGCAAAACCCCAUCUCUACAAAAAAUACAAAAAUUAGCCCGACGUGAUGAUGAGAAGAGAAUGAGCCAUGUGUUUCCUGAAACAUCCAGUGGCCUCACCGGAGAAUCUGCAAGAGCCGGUAAACCCAGAAGCUUGGCCGUCCAUUCCUGGAAGCAGACAUUGUGUCUUCGUCCACCAAGCCCCUGGCUCUCAACACUCACUGUGGUGGCAAGAACAUGGCACCUUGACCCUACACAGUUCUUCCAUUUUUCAGAAGCAGCUCCAGACCCUUGUCCCCAGGUUUUGACCCCACCCAGACCUUUGCCUGGGACGGAAAGCUGCUUCAUUUCAGGAGACACCUGAAGUACCUGGGUUGGUUCAGAGACUACCAGAAGUUUUUGGACUUCUUCUAGUCCUUUAAUGGCCAAAAGGACUCAAGGGCCUGGCAUGUAAUGGAAAAGGCAUCACCUCUCUCAUGGAACGCAGCUGGAAGGACCAACCCCUUCAUAGUUACAGGAAUCUGAGCUAUGAAGACACUAGCCAGGCAACAAGGCCCUGGGCUCAGACACAGAUGAAGUUUCUCUGGAAGAGAAAUCUGGCCUGUUACAGACCUGGGAAGUGCCAAGGCUUAGCUCCUGAGAAGGAUUGCUGGUGCUGACAGCUGGGAGUCAGGACUCCAGGGCCACUUGUAUGGAAGCUGGUGCCCGUGGUGCAGGAGGAUGGGGGCUCUGGAUUCUGCACCACCCCCCAUAGACUGGCCCCUCAGAGGGCUCCUGUGGUGUCAGAGCCCUCUCACAAGCGCCUGCCGUGGUUAUCAGCUGAAGCUGAGUGCUUGUGGAGUGUGGACAGAGGGCAGAGGGAGAGAAGCAGCCAUGGGCUUCCUGCCAGGAAGCUCAGCAGCUCCGAGGAGACUGGAGAGUCAUGGGACACAGUGCGUCCUCCCCAGAACAGCCUCCAGCCUGCCAGUUCAGAGCACACGCUUGGAGGCAGGAAGGCUGAGGUCCAACCCCAUUCCUGCUAUGGGCCAGCUGAGAGCUGUGGACAAGUCAUUCGGCUUCUCUGAGCCGCAGUCUUCUCACCUGUAAAGCGGGGGUAAUAAUACCCUCCUCACAAGGUUGUUGCAAGGCUUUGUGGGGAAAAAUACAAAGUGCACAGAGUUGUUCAGUAAGGCGUGGGCCUGCGGGGAAAGGCGGGGCCAUGAGCUGGCCAGGGGAGGAAAGGACAGAUGGGGACUCCAGAUAAUGAAAGCAUCUUUGCAUCCUCAAUGAUAUAAUCUGGGUUUGUUGUUGUUGUUGUUGUUUGAGACAGAGUCUCGCUCUGUCCCCCAGGCUGGAGUGCAGUGGUGCAAUUUCAGCUCACUGCAACCUGUACUUCCCGGGUUCAAGUGAUUCUCCUGCCUCAGCUUCCUGAGUAGCUGGGAUUACAGGUGCCCGCCACCAUGCCUGGCUAAUUUUUCUGUUUUUAAUAGAGACAGGGUUUCGCCAUGUUGGCCAGGAUGGCCUCGAGCUCCUGACCUCAGCUGAUCCACCCUCCUCAGCCUCCCAAAGUGCUGCGAUUACAGGCAUGAGCCACCGCGCCCGGCCCAUCUGGAGUUUUUUUGUUUGUUUGUUCCUCAUAAAGGCUACGAGGAGAGGAAGGGGCCUAGAACACAGGAUGGUGGAAGAGGGGCUCAUGGGUGGAGGGGAGGAGAGCAGAUGAGCAGGGACCCUCCCCCUUCCUCGGCAACCAUGGGGUUUGCCACACAUAUAUUUUUGAUGUCCCAUGUAUCAGGUGGAGAUGUCAACUUCUAUGAACUGAAAUAAACUGUUUCCCUAUGUGUAAAAUGAAGGGCACUUCAAGUCUGUCCAAGUACAACCAGGUGUCUCUAGAUACCCCGAGCCUGAGAAAUCACCCGUGUAGAUGCACACAGGCAUACACUCACACAUAUGCACAAUCACAUACACUCACAUUUUGUUACCUGGGUUCAAAUUAGACUAGCUGAUAGUUGAGGAUAGCCAUGGGUUCCAAGCUUAGGCACAUCUUUGCUGUGGCUGUUAGGCCUCACCCAGGUUGAGAGAAGGACUAAGACCCAGGUCUACUUGCUUGUCUGGUCUCUCUAUAUUAUCCUAGUAGCAAGUUA